AGAGUUUGAUCAUGGCUCAGGACGAACGCUGGCGGCACGCUUAAAACAUGCAAGUCGAACGUGAAGCCCGGGCUUGCCCGGGUGGAAAGUGGCGAACGGGUGCGUAACACGUGAGCAACCUGCCCCGAAGACUGGGAUAACACCGGGAAACCGGUGCUAAUACCGGAUGCCUUCACCACGUCGCAUGGCGAGGUGAAGAAAUGGAUUCCGCUUCGGGAUGGGCCCGCGGCCUAUCAGCUUGUUGGUGGGGUAACGGCCUACCAAGGCAACGACGGGUAGCUGGUCUGAGAGGAUGUCCAGCCACACUGGGACUGAGACACGGCCCAGACUCCUACGGGAGGCAGCAGUUAGGAAUCUUGCGCAAUGGGCGAAAGCCUGACGCAGCGAUGCCGCGUGCGGGAUGAAGGCCUUCGGGUCGUAAACCGCUUUCAGCAGGGACGGUUGUGACGGUACCUGCAGAAGAAGCCCCGGCCAACUACGUGCCAGCAGCCGCGGUA
Molecule: ribosomal RNA, 497 nt
Filed under: uncultured Actinomycetes bacterium
Lineage: Bacteria; Bacillati; Actinomycetota; Actinomycetes
Description: bacterial SSU rRNA
Rfam family: Bacterial small subunit ribosomal RNA
Source: RNAcentral